UACAGAGGUCCCAAGCGUUGUUCGGAUUCAUUGGGCGUAAAGGGUGCGUAGGCGGCGAGGCAAGUCGGAUGUGAAAUCCCGGGGCUCAACUCCGGAACUGCAUUCGAUACUGCUUUGCUAGAGUACUGGGGAGGAGACUGGAAUUUACGGUGUAGCAGUGAAAUGCGUAGAUAUCGGAAGGAAGACCAGUGGCGAAGGCGAGUCUCUGGACAGUUCCUGACGCUGAGGCACGAAGGUCAGGGGAGCAAACGGG
Molecule: ribosomal RNA, 253 nt
Filed under: uncultured bacterium
Lineage: Bacteria
Description: partial 16S ribosomal RNA
Rfam family: Bacterial small subunit ribosomal RNA
Source: RNAcentral